UAAUGUAAGUCCACCAUGGUAGGCUGGAAUAGGCAAAAGAAAUUAAAUGAUACCUCUUGCUAAAUUCUGAACAGAGAUAGAAGCAGAAUUACCAUAAGAGUAGCUUCAGAAAUGCGCGUUCAAAGAGCGAAAUCAAAUAAUAGCAGACCCAGAAGCGAAGGACAAGCACAUUACCAUAUUCUAUUAACCUUACACCAAUUAAUAUCCUUAAGCUAAAGUUUUUUCAUGAUUGUGGAAGACAGAAAGAGAUUAUUUAAGGCCUGUAAAUUAAAAAGCUCAAGUAGAACAAAAUAUAUACCAUGCUUGUUCAGUAUAUAUAAAAUUCAAGCAUGACUUCCCACACAGCAGAUAUAGGUCCUCUACAAACCAUUGUCUUGAAUCCAUGAUAGACUAGGCUAGGUAAGUUUUUUCCACAAUUAGAACCAUUCAUGAGAUAUUGGGCAUAAAAAUUGGACAUUGCUUGACAAGAAAUUAUAAGCCCUUGCUUUACUUGUCUUUACAUUCUAUCCAUUGAUAGAACAAAAGAACAAAGAAACAAAAAAGAAGUAUGAACUUAAAUUUCCAUUCUAAUUAUGGAAAAAAAGGAAAAAAAUUUUAACCUGAACCCAGUCUAUAAUUUUCCCAUAACAUUUAUCAAUUUUUCAUGGAGAAACCAAUUGAAAGGCACUGCUUAAGACUUGACAAAAUGAAAGAAAAUGCAGGUUUAAAUUAACAGAAAAUUGGACGGAAAUGAAAUGAAAUGAAAUGAAAUCAAAUCAAAUAAAAUCAAACACGGAAAGAGGAAGCUAUCCAUAUACUGAACAUAUUCAAGAAAGCUGAUUAUUUUACUUGGGCACUAAAUUAAGAGAGACGUAAACUGUAAAAUGGAGAAUAGCAACAUUACCAUUCAAGUAGCUUUGAAAGAGCA
RNAcentral lists this unclassified non-coding RNA (907 nucleotides) under Hevea brasiliensis (rubber tree). Lineage: Eukaryota; Viridiplantae; Streptophyta; Magnoliopsida; Malpighiales; Euphorbiaceae. The record is from RNAcentral.